Molecule: ribosomal RNA, 394 nt
Filed under: uncultured bacterium
Lineage: Bacteria
Description: partial 16S ribosomal RNA
Rfam family: Bacterial small subunit ribosomal RNA
Source: RNAcentral
AUACGGAGGAUGCAAGCGUUAUCCGGAUUUAUUGGGUUUAAAGGGUGCGUAGGCGGAUGAUUAAGCGUGAGGUGAAAUGCCACUGCUCAACAGUGGAACUGCCUCGCGAACUGGUUGUCUUGAAUGCUCCUGCCGUGGGAGGAAUGUGUGGUGUAGCGGUGAAAUGCAUAGAGAUCACACAGAACACCGAUUGCGAAGGCAUCUCACGAAGGGGUGAUUUACGCUGAGGCACGAAAGCGUGGGGAUCAAACAGGAUUAGAUACCCUGGUAGUCCACGCAGUAAACGAUGAUAACUAACCGCUGGGUCGUAGUGAUUCAGUGGCCAAGCGAAAGCGAUAAGUUAUCCACCUGGGGAGUACGACCGCAAGGUUGAAACUCAAAGGAAUUGACGGGG